This 72-nucleotide transfer RNA is filed under the name Anaplasmataceae bacterium. It matches the Rfam family "tRNA". From Rfam's summary of the family: Transfer RNA (tRNA) molecules are approximately 80 nucleotides in length. Their secondary structure includes four short double-helical elements and three loops (D, anti-codon, and T loops). The record is from Rfam by way of RNAcentral. Lineage: Bacteria; Pseudomonadati; Pseudomonadota; Alphaproteobacteria; Rickettsiales; Anaplasmataceae.
GUCGGCGUAGCUCAGUGGUAGAGCGAGGGACUCAUAAACCCUAGGUCGGAAGUUCGAUCCUUCCCGCCGGCA